GAACUGGGGGCGGGGGUCUGUCAAUCAUUAUUUGCAUCAACCAAUUAAAUAACUACUCUUGGCUAUCAAUCACAUUUUGCAUUGGCCCGUCACAGAUUAGAACAAGCUCUCCGCCAUUUUUUGAAUUAGCCAAUGUAGAUAUUGUUAGGUUAGUUUAACACCCUUUUUCUGUCACAGGUCAUUUUACCCAUUGGAACGUGAGGUGAAAGUGAUUUCAGUUAUGUGAAGUCAGUUAUGUGAAAUCAUUUUGCUACACAGAAGCUUUAGAGAUUGGGGUGAGUGACCAGCAAUAAUACAAAACAAUGGUGUAUACUCCUGCCCAUUCUGUCAGCCCAGAGUAUUUUCUACAAAAUCUAUGUUCCAUGCAACUGCCCAUCUUGAAGACCACCAAAAGCAUGCAGUUUCAUAGAGCCUGUCAUUUGCAGCACCUUCGCCCA
Colossoma macropomum (tambaqui) is the source of this 437-nucleotide long non-coding RNA. RefSeq lists it as uncharacterized. NCBI's taxonomy places the organism in Eukaryota, Metazoa, Chordata, Actinopteri, Characiformes, Serrasalmidae. The record is from RefSeq and is a predicted model, not a curated record. The transcript is spliced from 3 exons.